Molecule: long non-coding RNA, 3296 nt
Filed under: Chloebia gouldiae (Gouldian finch)
Lineage: Eukaryota; Metazoa; Chordata; Aves; Passeriformes; Passeridae
Description: Erythrura gouldiae (Gouldian finch) lncRNA (ENSEGOG00005000620.1)
Source: RNAcentral
UCCCUAGUAGGCUACUACCUUGUCCUGGAAAGUCCACUUAAAACAAGGCUAUUUACUACCGAGAAGCGCUUGAGCGAUAGGAUACAGCCGUCAGGGUAGGACGUAGGGUGUUCGAAGAGAAUUUGCCUCAAACUCCUACCUUAGUAAAGAAAAUGCACAGCACAGCUUUUGCUGUGAGUUGCUUUAAGAAAUGGGCUGACGAGGGAUGGAGGAGAGGGAGCUGAUCAAUGCCAUGUGUCGAGGAAACAGAAAAGGGAACCGAAAUGCCUCGGGGUUGGCUUCCCCCUCACCCCUGGCCGCUCAGUGGCUUCUAUUUGCUCGGCCGUACCUCAAAGCUGAAUCACUCGCUAUUAGCUCCGCGCCUCCUUCGCCCUUCGCUUGGGGGGGCUAAACCACUCAGGACUUCAAAGGCUCAAUAAAGCCUUAGCGAGGAGCCCCGGCCAGGGCCAGCCCAGCCGCCGUGUGCUCGGCGCAGCUCCUGCCCCGCGCUCGCCCUGCCCUCCACCUCCUGCCCUCCAAGGGGGCUUCGGAGAGUCCCCGCCUAUGGACAGCCGGAGCCCAGCCGAGCCGAGCCGCGCCGCCUGCUCGCUCGGAGAAGGACUUGUGCCCUCACCUACGCGGAGUGAUGGGGGUGGGGAGCGAGCACGGACGGGAGAGCGCAGAUGCCAAUGGUCACCAACACCCAAGAUUGCUCUCAAGGAAAGGAGGAAAGAAAUUAUCUUCUCAAACUGCGCUCCAGCCGGUCAUUUGACCCUGACACCCACCGAUGACACUGAAGAACACCCCGUUGAAGCGGCUAAACGCCUCGCAAUUUCCUGUCUUCUCUUCCCCCAGGCGGCCCCGGCGCACCGCCGCCGAGCGAUCUUAUCGCCGUGCGAUCAUUAUUCACCGGUGACAACCAGAGAUGCAGCGCUCCUAAGUGAGGGUGACAGAUUUCAAACGCGGGGCUGCAGCGUAUCCAGCCUCAGACAUAUUCUUCCUCAAACUUUGCCUAGCAAGGAAGUCAGCGGUUUAACCCUUUGCAGCUCUUUCACUCUCCCAGGGACCGGGACCUCAGCACCGGGGAAUACUGGUUGGGGGGAAUGCAGGACAACACGGCUACUUGGCUGGGAAUUCUUUUUUACCUGCCAUUUUAUAUUCUUGGUUAUUUUCACUUGAAACAGGGGUUUUCUUCUCACUGUUACUACAGUACUGUUUAACCGUGGUUCAAUACAUUGCUGAAAUUAGGUUCAGCUCAUUGUCAGAUGGACCUUAUCCUCUCAGAACUUUAAAACUUCCAAGGAUGCAGGCUGUACUCUUGGCAAUCUAUUUUGUCUUGACUUCUUUCACUGGAAAGAGGUUUUUCCCUAUAUUAUGAGAAGUCAAGGUGUUCAGAUAAAGCCUAUGGUGACUGGAGAAAAGAGAACCACCACAAUCAUUUUUUAAAAAUGUAAAAAGGAAGACUCUGGAAACUACAAAAUGGUGAGCCUCACCUCUAUGCCUGGGAGGCUUGUAAUGAGUUGUGUCCUUCACGGCUCAUCCUGGGACCAGAACUCUGUAAUAUCUUUGUGAAUGACACAGACAGUGAGAUUGAGAGCAUCCUCAGCAAGUAUGCAGAUGACAAGAGGCUGAGUGGUGGGGAUGACAGAACAAAAAGAUCCACAGUGACCUGGAAAAAAUCUUGAGAAGUGGGCCCAGAAGUACAUAUUGAUGUUGAACAAGUUCAUGUGCUGCACCUAGGCUGGGGCAAUCCCAGACAUGAGCACAGACUGGGAGACAAAGAUCUGGAGAACAGCCUGAGGAGAAAAACUUUGAGUUUCUGGUAGACAUGAGCCUGCAGUGUGUGCUUACAGCCCCAAAAGGCAACCAUAUCCUGGGCUACAUUGAAAGAGGAGUGGCUAGCAGGUUGAAGGAGGUGAUUCUUCUCCUCUACUCUGCUCUCAUGAGACCCCACCUACAGUGCUGCAUCUGUCUUUGGGGUCCUCAGCACAGAAAAGACAUGGACCUGUUGGAGUGGGUCCAGAGGAGUGCCACUAAAAUGGCCAGAGGAGUAGAGCAUCCCUCCUAUGAAGACUGAAUGAGACAGCUGGAGUAGAUUUCCCUGGAGAAAAGAAGUCUGGAGAGAGAACAUGAUGUGGUCUUUAGGUACGUAAAGUGUGCUUCUAAAAUAGAGGGGAUAGUGGUAGGACAAGGGGAAAUGGUUUUAAACAAAAAGAGGUGAGAUCUUAGUUAGAUGUUUUGAAGAAAUUCUUUACUGUGAGGGUGGUGAGGUACAGGAGAAGGUUGUGUUGAGAAGUUGUAGAUGCCCCAUACCUGGCAGUGUUCAAGGCCAGAUUGGAUGGGGCCCUGUACAACCUGAUAUAGUGGGUCACAGCAGGGAUUGAAACUAGAUGAUAUUCAGGGUCUCUCGCAAACCAAGGCAUUCUAUAAUCUGAUUAUUUUAUGAUCCUCUUUCUCAAUGUCUUUACAGGAUGCAGUUGGCUAAAACUGGAUGAAAUUUAUUUAUAGCAUUCUAAAGAGUGGCAUGUAAAUGGAUAUAAACAAUUGUCUUGGUUUCUUGGAUGUGCUCUCCUCUUGUUCCUACAGCUCAGAACGCAGUUAGCCAUUUCUGUUGCAGGUACACACUGGUGGCUCAUGCUCAGCUUGCUAACCACUGCAAACUUCAGGAAUUUUCCAGCAGAACGGCCUGGAACCAAUCCAUCCCAGCCUGUAACAUUGCAAAAGGCUCUGCUUCCAUGUAUAGGAAUUUACAUUUGUCUUUGCUGAAUUUGAUAAGACUCCUGUUCACCCCAUUCCUUCAGUAAGUCUGAGUCCCUCCACUCUCAGUUGUAUUGACUGUUCCUCCCCUCCUGGUUGUCACCUGCAGACUUGAGAAAAGGUACUUCAUCAGCUCCUUCAGUUUAUUGUUAGAGACACUAAACAAGACAGAUAUGUAAUGCAACAUUUGCGUUUCAAGAAUUCAAGUAGUUCAUUCUGUCUUUCUGGUUCUGACACUCACAAGUCUCCCUCCUAACUGUUCUUAACUCUGACCAGCUGAAACAAGGGUAAAUUAAUGGGCUCUACACCAGAAAAUGUCUUUUAUUUCAAUGAAAAUAUUGUCUGAAUGAAGACCAAAAGAUUGUGUCAUUCAUCAUACUGGGCAUUCUUUCAACAAAGGGAUUUUAAGAAAAUCUCUGGUUCAGCAAAUGCAUAAAAGAGAGUCUUUUGAUUUUCAUAGCUGUACAGUGCAGUACUUUGAGGGUAACAUUGGUGUAUAAUUAUAAUUUCUAAGAACAAAUUGAAAUAAAAGAUCUUUGUGAUGAAAUAUGUAGUCUAAA